GUGAUGAAGGCCUUCGGGUCGUAAAACUCUGGCCUCAAGGAAGAUAAUGACGGUACUUGGGGAGGAAGCCCCGGCUAACUACGUGCCAGCAGCCGCGGUAAUACGUAGGGGGCUAGCGUUAUCCGGAGUUACUGGGCGUAAAGGGUGCGUAGGCGGUCUUGCAAGUCAGGAGUGAAAGGCUACGGCUCAACCGUAGUAAGCUCUUGAAACUGGGAGACUUGAGUGCAGGAGAGGAGAGUGGAAUUCCUAGGGUAGCGGUGAAAUGCGUAGAUAGUAGGAGGAACACCA
Molecule: ribosomal RNA, 288 nt
Filed under: Clostridioides difficile
Lineage: Bacteria; Bacillati; Bacillota; Clostridia; Peptostreptococcales; Peptostreptococcaceae
Description: partial 16S ribosomal RNA
Rfam family: Bacterial small subunit ribosomal RNA
Source: RNAcentral